This 228-nucleotide ribosomal RNA is filed under the name uncultured bacterium. Its description in RNAcentral is "partial 16S ribosomal RNA". It matches the Rfam family "Bacterial small subunit ribosomal RNA", at positions 568 to 795 of the family's 1533-position model. The record is from RNAcentral.
UGCGUAGGCGGAAUAAUAAGUCAGUGGUGAAAUCCUGUGGCUCAACCACAGAACUGCCAUUGAUACUGUUAUUCUUGAAUAUAGUUGAGGUAGGCGGAAUGUGUAAUGUAGCGGUGAAAUGCUUAGAUAUUACACAGAACACCGAUUGCGAAGGCAGCUUGCAAAACUAUUAUUGACGCUGAGGCACGAGAGCGUGGGGAGCGAACAGGAUUAGAUACCCUGGUAGUC